UUUUUUUUUGUAGAUGUUGAAAGUCAGAGACAUAGGAGAGCAUCACUCUUUUGAGAUAACUCAAACCAACUUUGGAGUUGUCUGAUUUGGAGAGUCAUCAUUCUUGGUCUUCCCUCUUAAAGGAAAAGUUCACACAAAAAAUUAUUUAUUUGCCCUCAUGUCAUUUCAAACCUAUGAGACUUAUUAAGACUUACAACAAAAAAUAAUACAUUUUUUCAUUUUCUCAUAAUUUUGUUAAUCCAUUUAUAGUCUAGAUAAUCAGUAUUUUCAAGCCUCAUAAAUACAGAGUUAUUGUAGAAGUAAUUCAUUCUGAUAUUUAUAUAUGAAUAAAUCUGAAAUUAUAUGAUAGCAAAAUAAAAUAUUGGUUUUCAAAAUAAAAUAUUGGUCUCCCAAACUAGCAAUGGAGGACAAAAAUUAAGAGAAUAUUAAAUAUUUAUUUGUGUUUGUAUUUGUGUUGAGUCUUGAACAACAUGGAGAGAGUAAAUUAUGACCAUUUUUUUUCCUUAGAACUUAGAAACUAAUCCUUAGAAGUGCAGCCCUCCACGUACAUGAACAUUUGUGAGGCCACUGAUGAAGAACAGGUGGUGACUGGGAUGAAUGCUGUUCAAAGAAAAUACGUCCUUUCCCCUAAACUGAUGCAACAGUGGUUUUAAAGGAGGAUGCUGCCCUGAAUGAUGUAGAUGAUAUCACAUGUGCUGAUGGGGCUUCUUCAUGGCUACAUCAGUUAUGCUAAAGAGAUCAUGAAAGUUGACAGUGAUGCAUGAUCUGUAUUCAUGGACUAUAAAACCAAUUGUAAGUGUAUAAUUUGUAAAAACAAUGUUAAAUGCGUGUUCUGUGUUGUUUAGUAGAAGAGUUUACACGCUGCCAUUUAUACACAUGCUCACAUUCUUUCACACUCAAAUGUCUGUUAAAUGUUAUAAUAUCAAUGUUAAUGUUGUGGUUUAUUUGUGUACUGUCAUGCCAGAAUAUUUGGUAAAGAACUUAACUAAUUGUACAUUUAUUGUAUAAUAGUGUUUUCGUAUAUUUUUAUACAAUAUAUAAAAUUGAACAAAGUCCAAUUUGAUUUUAAAAGUUAUAUUCAACAAAUGUUCAAUGCUUUAUUUAUGAAAUCUGUAGCUAUUAAUGCCAUACUUUUCU
Long non-coding RNA from Carassius gibelio (silver crucian carp), 1137 nucleotides. RefSeq lists it as uncharacterized. Lineage: Eukaryota; Metazoa; Chordata; Actinopteri; Cypriniformes; Cyprinidae. The transcript is spliced from 3 exons. The record is from RefSeq and is a predicted model, not a curated record.